GUCUAUGGCCACACCACCCUGAAAGUGCCUGAUCUCGGAAACUAAGCAGGACUGGGUCUGGUUAAUACCUUGAUGGGAAACCACCUGGGAAUACCAGGUGUUGUAGGCU
RNAcentral lists this ribosomal RNA (109 nucleotides) under Xenopus laevis (African clawed frog). The record is from RNAcentral. Lineage: Eukaryota; Metazoa; Chordata; Amphibia; Anura; Pipidae.